This is a non-coding RNA of Danionella cerebrum, 76 nucleotides long. The record is from the annotation of a GenBank genome assembly. NCBI's taxonomy places the organism in Eukaryota, Metazoa, Chordata, Actinopteri, Cypriniformes, Danionidae.
GGCUCGUUGGUCUAGGGGUAUGAUUCUCGCUUUGGGUGCGAGAGGUCCGGGUUCAAGGGUUCAAAUCCCGGAGCCC